UUCCUAAUGAAAUCAUUUUAGGUAUAACCUGCUCAAUGUAAUAUAAAUAGCCGCAGAAAAUUAACUGUGCUAAGGUAGCAUAAUCAUUAACCCUCUAAUUAGGGGUUAGAAUGAAAGGUUUAACAAUCCAAUUACUUUUUUUAGUAUAUUAAUUAAAUUUUUAUUAAUCGUAAAAAUAUGAUUAUACAAAAAUUAGACGACAAGACCCUAUUAAACUUAACUUAUGUUCAGCUGGGGUAGCUAUUUAAUAAUAAUUUUAAACACAUAUAUUUAAUAUAAAAUCCCAAUCAAAUUGAAUACAACAAGUUACUAUAGGGAUAACAGCGUUAUUCUAUUUUUAAGCUCUUAUUUAAAAUAGAGAUUGCGACCUCGAUGUUGAAUAAUUUUACUUUUUUAUGCAAAAAUAAAAAAAGUAAGACUGUUCGUCUUUCAAAAAAUUACA
This 442-nucleotide ribosomal RNA is filed under the name Meringa sp. CG142. RNAcentral describes it as "partial 16S ribosomal RNA". It matches the Rfam family "Bacterial large subunit ribosomal RNA", at positions 1831 to 2600 of the family's 2925-position model. Lineage: Eukaryota; Metazoa; Arthropoda; Arachnida; Araneae; Synotaxidae. The record is from RNAcentral.